CCUACGGGAGGCAGCAGUAGGGAAUAUUGCUCAAUGGGGGAAACCCUGAAGCAGCAACGCCGCGUGGAGGAUGAAGGUUUUCGGAUUGUAAACUCCUUUUGUUAGAGAAGAUAAUGACGGUAUCUAACGAAUAAGCACCGGCUAACUCCGUGCCAGCAGCCGCGGUAAUACGGAGGGUGCAAGCGUUACUCGGAAUCACUGGGCGGAAAGAGCGCGGAGGCGGGAUAGAAAGUCAGAUGUGAAAUCCUAUGGCUUAACCAUAGAACUGCAUUUGAAAAUGUUAUUCUAGAGUAUGGGAGAGGUAGGUGGAAUUCUUGGUGUAGGGGUAAAAUCCGUAGAGAUCAAGAGGAAUACUCAUUGCGAAGGCGACCUGCUAGAACAUAACUGACGCUGAUGCGCGAAAGCGUGGGGAGCAAACAGGAUUAGAUACCCUUGUAGUC
This 440-nucleotide ribosomal RNA is filed under the name uncultured bacterium. Its description in RNAcentral is "partial 16S ribosomal RNA". It matches the Rfam family "Bacterial small subunit ribosomal RNA", at positions 338 to 795 of the family's 1533-position model. The record is from RNAcentral.